Scylla paramamosain (green mud crab) is the source of this 476-nucleotide long non-coding RNA. RefSeq lists it as uncharacterized. The transcript has 3 exons. NCBI's taxonomy places the organism in Eukaryota, Metazoa, Arthropoda, Malacostraca, Decapoda, Portunidae. The record is from RefSeq and is a predicted model, not a curated record.
CGUAACUGGCGGGAGUUUGGGAUCUUAAAUCGGAUGUACCACCAGGGAGUAGUAAAUGCUGAAGAGUGUCUCAAGCCCAUAUCAGCAAGACUGGACUCCUGGCGCGCCCUCAGCCUGGAAGAUUUCUACGGCGUUUUUUUAGUAUACUGUUGUGGAAUAGGAAUAGCAAGUAUCAAGUUCAUGGUAGAACUGACUCUGAGAAGACUGCCCAGUCUGCAUAUAUCUCAUGCCUGAGCGACUCUUCACCUGACGUGAUCCUUGACACCGGUAGCUAUUGCUUUAGUGACGUAUUCAAGUUCGAAGUGUUUCAGCAAUAGUGACGGCCACUUCUCUCAGGAGGAUGUCUAAUCUGGAGUGAAGCCUUAUGAUGUCCGCCAGUGUUUCAACUUUCAUCUAAUUGACAUCACUAUAGGCAGAGUAUCUGAAUAAUGUGGGUUAUGACUUCACUUGAUAGCAUUAAUAAAAACUAGCACUAA